UCAAAACAACAUCCACUCGAGCAGCCAUUUAAAAAGAAAAACUAUGCUACCCCAGGAUGAGAAAAUCUUGGAGGCACAACUUCUCAGCCCGGUAAUCAAAGUCUUUUAAUGCUCCAAUCCUAGCCCACAUUCCUACAUUAGAGUACUCUAUCUCCCAAGUUUGUCAUUUUCGUGUUCUCUUUGACCAGCUGACAAAUCUUCUCCCUCAUUCCUCAAUCCAGUGAAUUAGCUUCUGCUAUAUGCCAGGCACUUGGGAUAAAAAGGCAAAAUUGGAGUUCCUGCCCUCAAAGAACUUACAUUCUGCCAGGUUUUCCUACCUACUUAAGUCACAUGACUUCUCAAGAUGGAUCAGUGCAAGAUAAGUCUAGAUCAUGAAGAACUUUGGAAAUAAAGAGUGAAGCACCUCAAACGUGCCACCUCAUCUACAGACUUCUUGAUUGGCAGAGGAUAAGCCUUGGAUUAGAAAAAUGGACCAAUGGUAGCUUCAUACACAGCCCAGUCUCUGCGUACAUGACUGAUUCUAAGUCUCUGAAAGGGGAAUGGUGGCAAUGAGCCUGAUCAAGAACAAGACAACAGGCUGAGACCACAUACUACAGGAAUCUAGAACAGAUCUCUGUCCUUUUAGUUCAAGCUGCCAUUAAGUUAGUGAGAUGCAAACCCAGAGACCAUGACCUCCCUGCCUAGGCUUCAGUGACCAGAGGGGCAGAUCUCUCAGAAACUCAAGCAAUACAACACAUGAGGAGGAAGAGAGGAGGAGAAGAAAGAAGACAGAAGGUGAAAGAACAAGAGGAGUGCCAAGCUUUCUUUAAACUAGUUGCCCUCCACAGCUUCUGUUUUGAGACAAUAUUGCCAUUGCCUUCCAUCAUCUUUCUCUAGAAGAUUUUACAAAUUAGUCAACACACUAAACUAAUGUUGCCUUUGGCUGCCAUAAAUCUUUGCUUGUUAAGUAAGUCAAAUAAAUAUCUGCUGACUAAAGUACUUCUUAA
Molecule: non-coding RNA, 986 nt
Organism: Monodelphis domestica (gray short-tailed opossum)
Lineage: Eukaryota; Metazoa; Chordata; Mammalia; Didelphimorphia; Didelphidae
Source: RefSeq, a predicted model, not a curated record